Molecule: ribosomal RNA, 467 nt
Filed under: uncultured bacterium
Lineage: Bacteria
Description: partial 16S ribosomal RNA
Rfam family: Bacterial small subunit ribosomal RNA
Source: RNAcentral
GAUGAACGCUGGCGGCGCGCCUAACACAUGCAAGUCGAACGAUUAAAGCACCUUCGGGUGUGUAUAAAGUGGCGAACGGCUGAGUAACACGUGGGCAACCUGCCCCUCUCAUUGGGAUAGCCACGGGAAACCGUGGAUAAUACCGAAUACUUCGGGACUUCCGCAUGGAAGACUCGAGAAAGCUCCGGCGGAGGGGGAUGGGCCCGCGGCCUGUUAGCUUGUUGGUGGGGUAAUGGCCUACCAAGGCAAUGAUGGGUAGCUGGGUUGAGAGACCGACCAGCCAGAUUGGGACUGAGAAACGGCCCAGACUCCUACGGGAGGCAGCAGGGGGGAAUCUUGCACAAUGGGCGAAAGCCUGAUGCAGCGACGCCGCGUGCGGGAUGAAGGCCUUCGGGUUGUAAACCGCUUUCAGCAGGGACGAGGCGAAAGUGACGGUACCUGCAGAAGAAGCCCCGGCUAACUACGUG